Long non-coding RNA from Macrobrachium nipponense, 458 nucleotides. RefSeq lists it as uncharacterized. The record is from RefSeq and is a predicted model, not a curated record. NCBI's taxonomy places the organism in Eukaryota, Metazoa, Arthropoda, Malacostraca, Decapoda, Palaemonidae. The transcript has 3 exons.
AGAAAGAAGUGCCCCCGGUUGAUUUCCGUAACUCGCGUCGACAAUUGAUCGAGUAUUUUUUGCUUUAAUUUAUUCGUGGCGUUGGACGAUGCAGGUGUUUACGACUCUAUUACUCUUCUGUUCGCUGGUAACAACAGGUAUUUGCCUGGAGGUGGAAGGCGAGCGAACAGACGAGCGUCAACAGCUGCUGAAGGGGACACAGCAACCCCUGGAAAGGGCCGACGAGAGGCCUACUGAGAUCCGACAGAAACGACAGUCGGACAGGACAGUGCGCGUCCUGUCGUUCCAUCGCGGACUGUGGGCGAAGCCUUCCCUCGACAGCUACCUUCGAUAUAAUUUCAGUCACAACAUCGUGCACGAACUCUCGGUGUGUUACUGGGUAAGGUUCGAAAGAUUCGUAAGGUUGAACGUCCACUUCUCUUACAACAACAUUAACAGCGACGAUAAUAAUGACGCUU